GGGCCCGUAGUCCAGUGGUAGGAUUUUGGCCUCGCUAGCCAAAGAUCCCGGGUUCGAAUCCCGGCGGGUCCA
Molecule: transfer RNA, 72 nt
Filed under: Nanobdella aerobiophila
Lineage: Archaea; Nanobdellati; Nanobdellota; Nanobdellia; Nanobdellales; Nanobdellaceae
Description: tRNA-Ala
Rfam family: tRNA
About the family: Transfer RNA (tRNA) molecules are approximately 80 nucleotides in length. Their secondary structure includes four short double-helical elements and three loops (D, anti-codon, and T loops).
Source: RNAcentral